This 406-nucleotide ribosomal RNA is filed under the name uncultured bacterium. RNAcentral's name for it is "partial 16S ribosomal RNA". It matches the Rfam family "Bacterial small subunit ribosomal RNA", at positions 30 to 526 of the family's 1533-position model. The record is from RNAcentral.
AUUGAACGCUGGCGGCAGGCCUAACACAUGCAAGUCGAACGAGUGGCGGACGGGUGAGUAAUGUCUGGGAAACUGCCCGAAGGAGGGGGAUAACUACUGGAAACGGUAGCUAAUAACGCCUACCAACGGAUGUACCCAGAUGGGAUUAGCUAGUAGGGGGGGUAACGGCUCACCUAGGCGACGAUCCCUAGCUGGUCUGAGAGGAUGACCAGCCAAAGUGGAACUGAGACACGGUCCAGACUCCUACGGUCGGCAGCAGUGGGCAAUAUUGCACAAUGGGCGCAAGCCUGAUGCAGCCAUGCCGCGUGUAUGAAGAAGGCCUUAGGGUUGUAAAGUAAUUUCAGCGAGGAGGCGUUACUCUCAGAAGAAGCACCGGCUAACUCCGUGCCAGCAGCCGCGGUAAUAC